RNAcentral lists this ribosomal RNA (506 nucleotides) under uncultured bacterium. RNAcentral's name for it is "partial 16S ribosomal RNA". It matches the Rfam family "Bacterial small subunit ribosomal RNA", at positions 28 to 523 of the family's 1533-position model. The record is from RNAcentral.
GAUGAACGCUAGCUACAGGCUUAACGCAUGCAAGUCGAGGGGUAACGAGAGGGAAGCUUGCUUUCCUUGUCGACGACCGGCGCACGGGUGAGUAACGCGUAUCCAACCUGCCCCCAACUAAGGAAUAACCUUGCGAAAGUAAGACUAAUACCCUAUAAUUUCCUCAGAUGACAUCUGACGAGGAAUAAAGAUUUAUCGGUUGUGGAUGGGGAUGCGUCUGAUUAGCUUGUUGGCGGGGUAACGGCACACCAAGGCAACGAUCAGUAGGGGUUCUGAGAGGAAGGUCCCCCACAUUGGAACUGAGACACGGUCCAAACUACUACGGGAGGCAGCAGUGAGGGAUAUUGGUCAAUGGGCGGAAGCCUGAACCAGCCAAGUAGCGUGCAGGAUGACGGCCCUAUGGGUUGUAAACUGCUUUUAUACAGGAAUAAAGUUAGCCACGUGUGGUUAUUUGUAGGUACUGUAUGAAUAAGGACCGGCUAAUUCCGUGCCAGCAGCCGCAGUAA